CGAAGCAGAUUAUUGGUAGAGGGCGUGAGUCAGAGGGUCUCUACGUCUUGGAUCAGCAACUACCUAGAUCACUUGCAUGUUCCACGCGUUUAACACCUUUUGAUGUUCAUUGUCGUUUGGGGUAUCCUUCUCUCUCAGCUUUGAAGAAGUUAUAUCCACAGUUUCAUUCUUUGUCUGUUUUAGAUUGUGAGUCUUAUCAAUUUGCCAAACAUCAUCGUUUGCCUUCAGUAUUUCGAGUCAAUAAACGGGCUUCGUCCCCCUUUGAGUUAGUACAUUCAGAUGUUUGGGGGUCCUUGUCCUACUGUGUCUAAGUUUGGCUUUAAGUACUUUGUUACUUUUGUUGAUGACUUCUCUCGUAUUACUUAGUUAUUUUUAAUGAAGAGUCCAGAAUUAUGUUCUAUAUUUUGUGCGUUUUAUGCUGAAAUCCAAACCCAAUUCAAUGUUCCCAUUCGUAUAUUGCAAAGUGAUAAUGCUAAAGAGUAUCUCUCUAGGGAAUUUCAAUCUUAUUUGUUACAAAAAGGGAUUCUUCAUCAGUCCUCUUGUGUUGACACUCCUUCACAAAAUGGAGUUGCCGAAAGAAAAAAUCGACAUCUUCUUGAAGUAGCCAGAGCCCUCUUAUUCCAAAUGAAAGUACCUAAAUGUUUUUGGGCUGAUGCUGUAUCCACUGCUUGUUUUUUGAUUAAUCGCAUGCCUUCCUCCAUCCUUCAUGGUGAUAUCCCUUAUAAUGUUUUGUUUCCCACUAAAUCUUUGUUUCCUAUUGAGCCACGUAUCUUUGGGUGUACUUGUUUUGUUCGUGAUGUUCAUCCACAGGUUACUAAAUUAGAUCCCAAAUCACUCAAAAGUGUCUUCCUUGGCUACUUUCGACGUCAAAAAGGGUAUCGUUGUUUUUCUCCUGAUCUGAAUCGGUAUCUUGUGUCUGUAGAUGUAACAUUCUUUGAGUCCACUCCGUUUUUUCCGCCAUCCUUUGUUUAUAACACCCAAGGUGAGGAAGAUGACCUUUUGUUAUACACUGUUCGCUCUCUGUCUCCUCAAACUACUCCUACACCUUUCGCUCAUGUGCCAGGUCGCCCUCCCAUCUUUCAUGUGUAUUCCAGACGCUUAGAGGACUCUGACUCCGCUCCGCUACCCGCUUCUUCGUCGACAGAUCCUGCUCCCACUCAUCCUUCACUGUCUGAUUUGGAUUUGCCCAUUGCUCUUCGCAAAGGUAAAUGUACUUGCACUUAUCCUAUUUCAGCUUGUGUCUCUUAUGAUCAAUUAUCCUCUUCUUCUCGUUGUUUUGCCACUGCUUUAUAUUCUAUUUCAGUUCCCAAAACUGUUAUUGAGGCUUUAUCCCAUCCUGGUUGGCGUGCUGCAAUGGAAGAGGAAAUGAUGGCCCUUGACACUAAUGGUACUUGGGAGUUGAUGUCUUUGCCCCCAGGAAAGCGGGCUAUUGGGUGCAAAUGGGUGUUUGCAGUAAAAGUAAAUCCUGAUGGAUCUGUUGCUCGCCUCAAGGCUCAUUUAGUGGCCAAAGGUUAUGUACAAACUUAUGGAGUUGACUAUUCUGAUACAUUUUCCCUAGUUGCCAAGCUCGCAUCUGUUCGAUUGUUUAUUUCCUUGGCAGCUACACAUGAUUGGCCUUUGCAUCAACUGGAUAUUAAAAAUGCUUUUCUUCAUGGUGAUCUUCAGGAGGAGGUUUAUAUUGAGGAACCACCUGGUUUUGUUGCUCAGGGGGAGUCAGGCAAGGUUUGUAGACUUCGAAAAUCCCUUUAUGGCUUGAAACAGAGUCCUCGGGCAUGGUUUGGUAGGUUUAGUGAGGUGAUCCAACAGUUUGGAAUGAAUAUGAGUAAGUGUGAUCACUCGGUGUUUUAUAUAAAUUCUGAUAGUGGAUUAAUUCUGCUUGUAGUAUAUGUGGAUGAUAUCGUUAUCACAGGAAGUGAUAUUGUUGGCAUCACAUCCCUAAAAGAAUUUCUUAAAACACAGUUUCAUAUAAAGGAUUUGGGUUCAUUGAAAUAUUUCUUGGUAAUCGAAGUUAUGCGGUGUAAGAAAGGCAUCUUCUUGUCUCAAAGAAAAUAUGUUCUUGAUUUGUUAGCAGAAACAGGAAAAUUGGGUGCUAAGCCUUGUAGUGCUCCAAUGACCCCUAACCUUCAACUUACCACAGAAGACAGUGAGCCAUUUGCAGAUCCUGAAAGGUAUAGAAGAUUAGUUGGCAAGGUGAAUUAUUUGACGGUGACUCGUCCUGAUAUUGCAUAUUCAGUGAGUGUGGUAAGUCAGUUUAUGACAUCUCCUACUGUUGCCCAGUGGGAUGCUUUGGGACAGAUUCUUUGUUACCUUAAAUGGGCCCCAGGGCGAGGGCUAUUCUAUGGCAAGCAUGGGCACUCAAAUAUUGAAUGCUUUUCUGAUGCUGAUUGGGCAGGCUCGAAGGUUGAUAGGAGGUCAACUACUGGGUAUUGUGUUUUUGUGGGAGGUAACUUGGUCUCAUGAAAAAGUAAAAGGCAAAAUGUGGUCUCCCGUUCUAGUGCUGAAUCUGAAUAUCGAGCCAUGGCACAAGCCGUUUGUGAAGUCUUGUGGGUACGUCAACUAUUAGAAGAAGUUGGGUUCACAAAUUCGGUGCCUGCUAAGUUGUGGUGUGAUAAUCAAGCAGCUAUCCACAUUGCCUCUAAUCCAGUAUUUCACGAGAGGACUAAACACAUCGAGAUUGAUUGUCAUUUUGUUCGUGAAAAGGUCCAACAAAAGAUAAUAUCAACAGGAUAUAUCCGAACUGGAGAACAAUUAGGAGAUAUCUUUACUAAAGCUCUAAAUGGAACUCGAGUUGAUUAUAUAUGUAACAAGUUCUGCAUGAUUAACAUUUAUGCUCCAACUUGAGGGGGAGUGUUAUAGGUUAUAGGAAGUAAAUAUUGAUAGAUGGGUUAGCUACUUAAUCUUGGGGUUGCAUAAUCAUAGGCUUGAUUUUCCUUCCUGUUUAGAUACCGUCUCUCAUGUAUAAAUAAGUUGUAGUCUCUAUUGUGAUAUACAACAAAUAUUGUCUUUCUAUGGGUAUUUAUACUAUUUACUUGUUUACAUGUAAGAAAGAAUGCAUAAUUACAACACAUAAAUCAGCGGUAGUCUUAAGCCAUAAUUACAACCAAAUCAUAUCUCAACAAGAUUAUUAGGCUUAUAAUUAUAAUAAAUUACAUUUAGAUCUAAAUGUAUAUCAUAUUAGAGUAAAAAUCAGUAACUUAUACUCCAAUAAAAACUUAAAGACAUGAGUGAGUCAACUAAAAGUAAUGUAACUUAAUCAUUUAAGUAAGCCUAUUUGAAUACUAAAGUCUAUGUUAAUAAAUGAGACAUUAAGGAAAUCAAUUAGCUUUUCAUGAGUUAAUUCCCACUCCCAACAAAAACUGCUAACUAGCGUGACGCCCAUUGAUUAAUGAUAGUUAACAUGUAUAUAAUUUAUAUCCAUUGGUAAAAUUAAAUAUGCACUUGCAGAAGAAAAAGGUAAUUUACCAUAAAAUUUAUAGCACUUUUUUACAAUGUAUAAAUUUCAUAGGAAAAUGGAUUGAGUUUGGUGGAUAACUGGUAUAAAAAAUAAUUUUUAGUUUAUCUUUGGGUUAUGAAUAAAUAAAAAUUUAAUAAUUUCCAGAAAAGUAUAUAUUAAUUUUAAUGAAUAAGUAUGCAAAAUUUUAUUACACCAAGAAAAAUAAUUACCAGUAAAAGGAAAUAAAAAGCUACAAAAUUACAAAAUUUGAACAUAAAAAUAUUUUUGGCUGUGUGGUUGAAUGAGUCCUUUGAUGAGGUGUAAAGUUUAGCUACUAUCCAUAGUUAAUGUGGGACAAUGCAUGUGGAGGCUUGGUAAAAGCACCACUUGGGUAUCUAGUUCCAAUUAUCAGGUCUAUCUAUUAAUAAUCAUUUGUUUCUUGGAUUCGUGGCUCCUUAGGUUAAAAAUGUUGCUGCUGGGUUGCUUCAUUCAGCAUGCAUUGAUGGUAUGAGUUGAUGAUUUUUUUUUCCUGCUUGUUGGUUUUUUUGUGGCGUUUUUUUGAGGUAAUAUCAUUAUUAUAGAUUUGUGUGAAGCACAUAUUUUUUUGUCUAAAAUCUUGGAUUUUGCAGAAAAUGGCGCCAUUUUUGUAUUUGGUGAAAGAGUAACCGGUAGAUUGGUAAGUUUAAGUUUUGAUUAUUCUCUCUUUCUAGACUUUGUUCGUACGGGAAAUACAACUUUUUUGGGAAAAUAAACUUUGUGAAAAUUUUUGAAGUGAUUUUUUUUUCUUGUUGUAACAUUGAAAAACAACUUAGAAGAAUUAAUUUUAGGGUUUAGUGUGGAUGUAGAAAUUUAGUUGCAAUGGAACCAAUUGUAAUGCAUAUGUUAUGGAUGCAUUCAUGGGUAAGCACUACAACAAGCACUCCCAACAGAACUAGGAGUCUGUUGGUGGUAGAAGCUUACCUCUUCAAAUUAAGUGAUUCAUCUCAUUCCGAGUUUAUCAAGUAGUUGAUUAGAUUUUUGUUUAGUUAUUCUUACUUUUAUCUAGUUAUCUAUAGAUUAGUUACCAUAUUUAAAACCCUUGCUUGUAUUUGAUAAGGUUAUAUGAAUAUAAUCCUUAAUCAAUUGUAAGCCUCACUAUGAAAAGGAGUUAUUACUAAUGAAUGAAAUAAGGAGAAACUAUUUACCAAAUUCUUCCAAGAUCUGGAGCUCUCUGAGGUUCCGGCGCUUCCUCUAUUGAGCACUCAAAUUAUUUCGUCAUAAAUUCCACCUGGAGAGGUGGUGACCAUAAUAAAGGCAAGGUUAUAAUUGAAGACAAUUCUCCUACUUGCACACCCGUUGUAACGACCCGAAAACCGGACCGCUACCGGCACUAGGAUCCAGAUCGGUUUAAGGCCGCCGGGACCCGUAGCAAGCCUAACAUAUAACCUGUAAAUCUGUGUAAUCCCAUACAUGAUCAUACAAGACAUAAACAUGUAAACUUUUUCUUUCGCAAAUCAAGCUUAACCUGUGCAUGCACACUAACAUAACCAUAAACCUCACACUGGAGCCCUCAUCACAUGCUCCAAUGGGGUAUCAAUAACAUACAUUAAGCUUGAUUACUCAUCUCAUCAGUAAUAAUGAUGAUCAUGCAUUAAAAGGGAUACAAUACACAUAGGGUCAAGCACAACCUCUAAUCCUCAAUAUUAUUUUACAUAUCAUGACUACAUAAGACAUUACAUUACAAUUUCAUCAUGUCCACAACUUCUAACUAUUACAUGAAAAUAACUUUACUCCUGCUGACCUCCUGGUCUACCCUGUACCUGCAAACCUGGGGUAUAAGGGGAAAGGGGUGAGCUACUAGAGCCCAGUGAGCAGAAUAAUAAAACAUUUAUAUUUUUCAUGCUUACAUGAAAUGCAACAUAUCACAAACAAUUCACAUCAAGGAUGGACUUGUCACCAAGGGUCCUCUACAUAGUCCAACUGUGCCAGGGGCGUAGUGCAGGCCACACCUGGUCUUUCUCUUACAUAUAUCACAACAUACAUGUCCAAAUGUGCCGGGGGCGUAGUGCAGGCCACACCCGGACUUUCACUUACAUAGUGCCAGGGGCGUAGUGCAGGCCACACCUGGUCUUACAUAUCAUAUCAUAUCUCAUCAUACUGAGGACCAAUGGGUCAUCCAACAUCCAUCCACAUCAACAUCAAGAUAUGCAAUGCAACAUAUUCGUGAAUUUUAAUGCAAACAACCUAAAAUAUCUCAUGGCAUUCGUGAUGCAUGAUCUAUGCUAAGAUUUUCAUUUUUAUUUAAAAGAUAAGAGUUUAUUCUACUUACCUCUGGCUGACUCUGACAAGACUCUGAAGCAGCUGUCACUGCUGGGGUCCUCGGUUCCUCGGGUCCGAACCUACAAAGGUGGACUCAAAUGAGGGACCAAACAUACUAGAACAUGACUCUAAACAUCCCCCAAAAAUCCCCUUAAAACACCUCAAAACAUCCAUGGGAAGCAUGCAAAGGAAGGCUAAACAGGACACUUUCGGCGGCAGGUUCGGCGGCCGAAAGUCCCUCCAGAGCCGAAAGUCAGGCAGGUUCGGCGGCACCUUCAGCGGCCGAAACUCCCAGAUAGAGACGAAACUCAUGCAUGUUCGGCGGCACUUUCGGCGGCCGAAACUACCCUCCAGAGAUGAAAGUCCUCUUUCGGGGGCAGGCUUCGGCAGCCGAAAGGCUUGCCUCCCAAGCAGGUUCGGCGGCCGAAAGUCCUUCGGCUGCCGAACCUGGUUUCUGCCAAAGGGCAGAAACUUGGUUCCUCAUGCACAGUUGCCUCCCAACCUUUUAGAUCAAGCAUACAACUCACUCAAAACAUACAUAGAUACAUACAUCAGCUCCUAGGGGCUUCAAACUAUCCUAAACCCCAUCUACAACACAUCAAACAACCACAAGCAUCAUACAUUGCUCAAAAACUUAACAUAACCCUUAAACCAACCAAAAACCUAAACAUGCAUUUCUACCCCAAAGAUCAACUUAAAACUUGUUUAAAACGUAAAAUGAGCUCAAGAUCGGCUCUUACCUCUUGAAGAUCGAGAGGAGAACGACCCUAGCUCGGAGAUGGGAGAGAUUGAGCUUCUUGAACCUCAAAGUUUCAAAACUUGCUUUAUACUCGAAAAUCUUCAAAACGAAGGUGAAAACUCAUAAAAAUCAUGAAGAAUGGAAGGAAGAAACUCAAGAUCGGUGAGGGAUGGCGGAGAGCUCACCUUGGCCAAAAAUGGGGAGAAAAACUCGCCCGUUUUCGGCUAAGGGACCCAUUUAUAGGUGGCUGGCCAGGCCACAUUUGGGAGCCGAACGUGCCUCCGCAACGCAUGCAAGUUCGGCGGCCGAACCUGGACUUCCUUCACUUAUGCUUUCGGGGGCCUAAGGCUCUCCCGAAGUGCAUGCAUGUUCGGCGGCCGAACCUGGGUCUUCCUCCAAGAUUAUUUUCAUGCAAAAACUCAUUUCCUUUUUACUUAAAACCAUGAAGUACAUUAAAACAUUUUAUGAAAACAUGUUUCUACCCUACUAGAGGCUUCCGACAUCCGAGAUUCCACCGGACGGUAGGAAUUCCGAUACCGGAGUCUAGCCGGGUAUUACACCCGUGACUCGAUCCUUAACUCGAGAAUUUAACAUAAUCCAUGUGGACUUCAUAUUUUAGUUUCAGAAGAAAAUUUUGUAGAUAACUUAUAAGAAAUUGAACUUGGGCAUAAUUGAUCCCAAAAGCUAGCAUAAGGGUGGGAGAAAUGCUCAAAUCUAGCAGAAGUUACACUACUUGCACACUGAAUCUAUGUGGAAUAAGUAAUACACCUUCGUCAUAGACAGGACUAACACCUAAAGCAUGAAUACUUGUGGAGAGAGUUAGGAGCAUGGUUUUAACAUAACGGCCGUUAUGUAACGAGUUUUGGGGGGCUGAUACCCGUUACCCCGUUAUACAACGGCUCUCCUGAGUUGUAGGCGUAAUGGCCGCUGCUGUUACUAAUAAUUAAAAUUCUUUUAUAUCUUCCAUCUUCUACCCUUAUUCUCAUUUUUAUCAGUUUCCACACUUUUCAGCAGUUUCAAAAAUAAUAUUUUUUAAGUUCUCCCUUCCCUUUCUCUUUCAGAUUUUAAUCCUCUCCGCGUAUUUCUCAUAUAAACUUGAUCCAUCACAAACUAAUGCAUUUCUAAGUAUUUCCUCUAAAUUGUUAUUUUAUACUUUGGUUUUUAGUAGCUGUUUUUUUUUCUAAAUUUUUGUGGAUUAAAGUAUUAAUUUUGAGUUUAAAUUGUAUUUUGAGCUAUUAAUUUACUUAAUCUAUAAAAAUUGUACUGGUUUUUCUUAUUUUAAACUAUAUGCGUUUUAACUUAAGUUAAAUAAUCUAUAUUUGAUGUAUUUAUAUUUAUUAUGCAUUUGUAUAUGUUGUUUUAUAUUAAAUCUAAUCAAUAUCAUUUCAUUUUAUGAACUUUGCAAAUUUUUUUGAAAAAUUUGCAUAGCGCCAUGCCAUUACCAUUACGUUACGACCAUUAUAUGUAUGUUUUCAUUACUCACAACUGCGACCGCGAACACAGCCAUGACCGCGAUUUAAAACAAUGGUUAGGAACAAGAUAAAUAAGAUUCCAAUAGAAAUUUUAAUGGAGAUUGAUAAUUUGUAUUAAUAGAAAGUUAAAAUCUCAUAUUCAACAAUACAGUAUGAGGAGAUGCUAUUCAACAUAGAUAAAGGGUCCUUAAUUGUGGGAAGUUAUUUGCAAUUACUUAUAAUUGUUUAUUCUUUUUUUUUUUUUUUUGAAAUUCUGUGUAUAAAUUGCCAUGUAAAUUAUUUUUAAAAUUAAGUUAGAAAUACAAACAAAUUUAUAAAUUCUUUCAAAAUCUUCAUGGUAUUAGAGCCCUAAACUUCAUUUUAGGGUUUUAAUUUGCAUUAAUUUCAAUUUUAGGAUUUCUGAAACCCUAAGGCUAUUGAUUUGGUACUGGUAUAGGUAAGGGCCCUCUUUGAGUAAGUGCAUUAAGAUGGUGGUUUCAAGUAUUUCAAUAUUUUUUUUUUUGAUGAUUUCUCUCUUGCUACUUAUUUAUUUUUAAUGAAGAAUGGUUCAAAACAGAUUUUCCAUUUUUUGUGUUGAAAUUCAAAAUCAAUUCAGUAUGUCUAUUCGAGUGUUGUGAAUUGAUAAUGCUAAAGGAAUAUCUUUUUAGUAAGUUCCAAUCUUAUUUGUCACAGAAAGGAAUUUUUCAUCUGUUAUAAGUUAUAGAAAGUAAAUAUGUUAAUAUAGGAAGUAAAUAUUGAUAGAUGGGUCAGUUGCUUAAUCUUAGGGAUUGUAUAAUUAUAGACUUAAUUUUUCUUCCUGUUUAGAUACCGUCUCUCAUGUAUAAGUAGGUUGUAAUCUCUAUUGUGAAAUAUAACAAAUAUUAUCCUUCUAUAUGGUAUCAGAGCCAUUCUCGUAGAGAUUUAAUUUUUUUUUUUCUCUCUAGUCAAGUUUAAAUAAUAUCAAUAAAAAAAAAAUUUGGAGAUUUAGGGAUCUGUUCAUUUGGGUUACCCAUAAAGGGUAACAUUUGGAUCUCACCAUCGCUGGAGUCGCCACAUCAUUCCCUUGUCAGAUCUGAGGUUUGUUUGCCGUUCGGGUUUUGUUCAUCGGUACUGUUCACGGUACUGUUCAUAGGCACUGUUCACGGGUACUGUUCACGCCGGUACUGUUCAUGCCGAAUACUGUUUUCUGAUUCUGUGUUUUUUUUGUUGCUAUCGUUUUGGGUUGGUUGUCCUUAUGGCUGAAGUUAAAACCACCACCAUAACUGAUGUGAUUCCUAUGAUGACUGAAAUCACGGAACACAAAUUGAAUGGAUCUUCCGAUCAGGAAAUUUUGAUAUCUGCAGAUGAAUAUGUACAAUUCAUCCAAUACCAGGCAUCUCUAAAAUCCUCUAAUUCCUCCUUUAUCACUGCAAUUGCCGAGUCAGGUAAUUCUACUGCAUGUCUUGUGUCUUUAUCCUCCAAAUGGGUUAUUGAUUCUGGUGCUACCGAUCAUAUGUCAGGUAAUUCUAACAUUUUGUCCAAUCUUGAGUCUCAUACAUCGCCUUCUUAUGUUACUCUUGCUGAUGGCACUAAAUCUUCUGUCAUGGGUUCUGGUCAUGUCAACUUAAUCCCUUCUCUUUUUAUAUCCUCUGUGUUAUGUCUCCCUAAGUUCGUGUUUAAUUUGCUUUCCGUGAGUAAACUCACUCGUGCAUUGAAUUGCUGUAUCUCAUUCUUUCCUGAUCACUGUGUUUUUCAGAAUCUUUCGACGAAGCAGAUUAUUGGUAGAGGGAGUGAGUCAGAGGGUCUUUACGUCUUGGAUUAGCAACUAUCUCGAUCUCCUCGAUCUCUGGUAUGCUCCACGCGUUUAACACCUUUUGAUGUUCAUUGUCGUUUGGGGCAUCCUUCUCUCUCGGCUUUGAAGAAGUUAUGUCCACAGUUUCAUUCUUUGUCUGUUCUAGAUUGUGAGUCUUGUCAAUUUGCCAAACAUCAUCGUUUACCUACACUAUCUUGAGUCAAUAAACGGGCUUCGUCCUCCUUUGAGUUAGUCCAUUCAGAUGUUUGGGGUCCUUGUCCUGUUGUGUCUAAGUCUGGCUUUAAGUAUUUUGUUACUUUUGUUGAUGAUUUCUCUCGUACUACUUGGUUAUUUUUAAUGAAGAGUCGUUCAAAAUUAUUUUCUAUUUUUUGUGCAUUUUAUGCUGAAAUCCAAACCCAAUUCAAUGUUCCCAUUCGUAUAUUGCAAAGUGAUAAUGCUAAAGAGUAUCUCUCUAGGGAAUUUCAAUCUUAUUUGCUACAAAAAGGGAUUCUUCAUCAGUCCUCUUGUGUUGACACUCCUUCACAAAAUGGAGUUGCCGAAAGAAAAAAUCGACAUCUUCUUGAAGUAGCCAGAGCCCUCUUAUUCCAAAUGAAAGUAC
RNAcentral lists this long non-coding RNA (10311 nucleotides) under Manihot esculenta (cassava). RNAcentral describes it as "long non-coding RNA (MESC_LNC010134)". Lineage: Eukaryota; Viridiplantae; Streptophyta; Magnoliopsida; Malpighiales; Euphorbiaceae. The record is from RNAcentral.